RNAcentral lists this ribosomal RNA (665 nucleotides) under Starmerella riodocensis. RNAcentral describes it as "eukaryotic LSU rRNA". The stretch from base 264 to 413 matches the Rfam family "5.8S ribosomal RNA". Lineage: Eukaryota; Fungi; Ascomycota; Dipodascomycetes; Dipodascales; Trichomonascaceae. The record is from RNAcentral.
GUUCUACGAUUGAUGGCUUAGUGAGAUCCUAGGAGGGCAAGCGCACGAGGGCAACCUCUAGCGCGUGCCCGAAUUCGAUCAAACUUGGUCAUUUAGAGGAAGUACAAGUCGUAACAAGGUUUCCGUAGGUGAACCUGCGGAAGGAUCAUUUCUGAAGGCUACACGCCAACAUUGUGAAACUCAUCUUCGGAUGAAUUACUUGGGUGCUCUCGGGCGCCCAACAUUCAAACUUUUAUUUUUUAUUCUGAAACCGAGAAAUUUAAAACUUUCAACAACGGAUCUCUUGGUUCUCGCAUCGAUGAAGAACGCAGCAAAGCGCGAUAGGUAAUGCGAAUUGCAGACGUGAGUCAUUGAAUCUUUGAACGCACAUUGCGCUACUAGGUUCUCCUAGUAGCAUGCUUGUUGGAGCGCCGAUCUUUCUCCUCUACCUCUUCUCUGAAGAGGCCUGAGGGUAUUGCUCCCGCCGGGAGUUAAAAGAAUGGAAGUGCACACGUUAGAUAACUCUGUGCAGUUACACUUUUACUUUUGGCCCCCAAUCAAGCAAGGCUACCCGCUGAACUUAAGCAUAUCAAUAAGCGGAGGAAAAGAAACCAACAGGGAUUGCCCUAGUAACGGCGAGUGAACAGGCAAGAGCUCAGAUUUGAAAGCCCCUUGGGGCAUUGUAU